RNAcentral lists this ribosomal RNA (253 nucleotides) under uncultured bacterium. Its description in RNAcentral is "partial 16S ribosomal RNA". It matches the Rfam family "Bacterial small subunit ribosomal RNA", at positions 524 to 776 of the family's 1533-position model. The record is from RNAcentral.
UACGUAGGGAGCAAGCGUUGUCCGGAAUCAUUGGGCGUAAAGCGCGCGUAGGUGGCCUCGUAAGUCCGCUGUGAAAGUCAAAGGCUCAACCUUUGAAAGCCGGUGGAUACUGUGAGGCUAGAGUACGGAAGAGGCGAGUGGAAUUCCUGGUGUAGCGGUGGAAUGCGCAGAUAUCAGGAAGAACACCCGUGGCGAAGGCGGUUCUCUGGGACGGUACUGACGCUGAGACGCGAAAGCAUGGGGAGCGAACAGG